This 6072-nucleotide unclassified non-coding RNA is filed under the name Leishmania donovani. RNAcentral's name for it is "gene:LdHU3.36.6450(CDS-product:PSP1_C-inal_conser ved_region_containing_protein_putative)". The record is from RNAcentral. Lineage: Eukaryota; Euglenozoa; Kinetoplastea; Trypanosomatida; Trypanosomatidae.
UAGGUAUACUCACUAGCACAACAACACAGGCCGAUUCAAAGCGGUUCCGUUCUUAUUGUCAUCUGUUGAGAGUUAACCUCCCCCCGCCUUCUGUCGCUGUUUGGUUGUUCCGCUCACGAGUGAGUGUCCCCACGUCUGCACGCGUUGUCCCCUCUCUUGUUUCGUUCACCCUUCUCUUUGUUGUUUGAUGUUUUUUUUUUUAUUUUGCUGCUCACGGCAAUUUUUUCAUUUUUGUUUUUGUGUUUUAGGAGCCCGCACUCGCUGUCUGUCUGUCGUUGUCGCUGCACUCGGCGUUUGUCUGUCCACUAUCUCUUUCUUUCGCUUCUGCUCGUUGUUGUUCUCUUGUUCGUAAGUCAAGCGACCGCAAACAUCUUCUGCCACCGUUAAGUAAUAAUACGUAGGCCGACACCGACACCGGUACUGGGGCAACGAGAAGGUGAAGAGGUCAGAGAAAGGGAGUCGGCGUGGGGUGGGCAAAAGGGCAAACACAGCAUUCACGCUUUUUGUCGUUGUUGUUACUCGUCACGUCCAUAGGAGCUGAAGGAAACCCACUCCGCUGCUACACCUUUGCCUGCUCACCAAAGGACACGCACACACACAGUCAUCGAACCCUCCCUGUCGUACAAUUCCCGCUAUUUUGGCGUUUCGCUCUGGCUGCUCGAUGCCGCAACCAGCCUCUAGUCACGCCUUAGAGCGUGAGCAGCUGGCGAGUGUGGUGCGCAAGCUGGUGAUCGAUGCCGACGAGUUUUUUGCCCAGCAGCAGAAAACGCUGCAGCUGUCCUAUGCCGAACUAAACAGCCGUAUCGAGCAGCUGCGAAUGCGUGUGCUGCAGCAGCAACUGCAGCUGAGCCCGAUGCACACGGCGAAUGGCGGAUACAGUAACAUGAACCCGUCUCUCUUUUCAGCGCUGCACAACAUCCCGAACGCGGAUCUACUGGGCCUCUCCGGGUCUAACGUCGGCAUGGUCGGCGGUGUCGCGACAACGCCAAAUGCUGCCAAUGCUAUGAACGCCACACCGAUGCGUCCGAAGACCGGUGGCGCGACUCGGUCGUUGAUGGGCAGCCUGAACGGACCCAACGCGGUGCUGGGCAUGAGUGAGGCAUUAUCAGAGAGCGCGCGCUCUAACGGUGCGCUUGGUGGUUAUCUGAGCACGGCUCUGAACGGCAACAACGCAGCAACGGCAGGUCCGGGGUCACUGCGCUCCUACAAGGCGGAUGCCGUGACGCCACCGAAGAAGCAGCUGGCCCUCUCGCAGCCAACGAACAAGAGCCCUAGCAUGCCCUCGCCGCACUUGGCAGGUGGGCUGAACGCAAUGUCCGUCAUAGACGACGCCAUCAGCGGAGAGUUUUUCUCAACGGCACCGAACAACAACAACCGCAGCCACCACGACUCGCUGAUGGCGUCUCCACAGGCUACACAGAAGCUCUCGCUGGUCGAGCUUAUUGAACGCUUCAACAUGUCGUCUGCCCCCGUGAACACGACCUCUUCCUCUGCCUUCAACUUCGACUCGCUCUAUGAGCAACUCACCGGCGGCGGUGGUGCAGAGGAGUUGUCGCAGAGUCCGAUGGAUUACACGGAGAAGGCACCGAACUUGAUUCCGACCGGCCAGCCAGAUAACGCUCAGGCGUCGCCAUGCGACCGCCACCAUGACAACGGCGGCGACCCGUCGCCGGACGCGAACGGCAUCAGCGGUGGUGCCAUGGCGAAGAAUAGCAUUCCUAUCGAUACGCUGCGCGCCUUGCACGACCAGCAUUUGACGACCAGCGUGCGUGUCGCUUACGAGCGGGGGCGCCCGAAGGUCUUGAAGAUUCUUGGUGGCGCGGCCGACACUCCUGGGAGGCUUGGCAUUGACCCCCGCAGCAGCUGCGAGGUGCUCGUGGAGUUUAAACGGAAUCGGGUUCUCCAGUACGAAUCACAUGAGUACGUUGCGCCGGGCAGCUACGUCAUUGUCGGCGGCGACCGCGGUGAGGACCUGGGUCUCGUCGUUUACGUCUGGUGCGAGGUGGCGCAGGAAGGAAACGGCCACGGGCACGCAGGCGGUGGCGCCGGUGCGUUCGACAAGACUGCCUCUGCGUCUCGCAAGCGCCAGGUGGUCGGCGUUGGCCUGACAGACAGCAAACUGCCGCGCAGCAUCGGAGUGGGCAACGGCACUGUCUUGCGACUGGCAUCGGAGACAGACGUGCAGCAGUUACUCGGCACCCAGGCGGAACUGGAGCGCCGCGCCAUUGACGUGUGUGCUCAGCUGGUGCUCGACCACUCUCUGCCAAUGGUGAUUGUCGACGCUGAGUACCAGUUUGACAAGAAGAAGCUGACGUUCUUCUACGAGGCUCAGCAGCGGAUGGACUUCCGAGAACUGGUGCGCCACCUAUACAAGACGUUUCGUGCGCGUAUUUGGAUGGAGCUGGUAGACGCGUAAAGCAGCUGCAAUGCGAUGCUUUUCCUCGCCCAGGGGCAUGAGCACAAGCGAUGCGUUUUUGUUUUCUCGCUCGCGCUUGUGCGAUCGAUAUGUGCCCGCGCGUCGUGUCACGCGUGUUGCGUAUCGGCGCGUAUGUGCGUCGACCCACCGAGGUUUCUUCACUUUCCCUUUAUAGAUGUCACUGUUUACUUUUUGUGUGUUUUGUUUUGACUACAUUUCUUCCUUACAAAGCCGACACACCCAAGCCCGGGAAAAAGCGGCAGCAAGUAAAGUAACGAGACGGAGAAACGGAGGCGAACUUGUGGGGUGUUAAGAGGUCCUCCGACAGGGAGUUUCUUUUUCUUUCCUUUGCCCGUUGCAGUGGUCAAGGUGGGAGAGAGAAAACAGAUGAAGAUCAACCAAAACCAGGAGAAAAAAAAGAAUAAGUAAAAAAACCACAAAGGAAAAGAAAGGAAAAAAAAAAGAAACACCGCCAAAUAAACGAAAGCGACAGGAACGGAUUGCACGCGUAAUCUCGUAAUUCAUGGUGCGGGAUUUAUUAUUAUUAUUUUUUCGGUCUUGCAUAUAGGCACCGUUAGGGGAUAAGAGAGGAGAGGGCUGGAGGAGGGGGCGACUGAUUCUUGCGAGACAUGUGGAUCGCUAGCGAAUGAGAGAUCUGCGCGAUUUUCGAAGCUGUCUUAGCUUUUCCAUGCUGCGACGCGACGCGGCUGCCAUGUGCUGAUCAAAGAGAGUAAAGCAUUCAAAAGGGAAGCCGCGUCAAGCUGCAUCAGCUUCCGCACUACCCCCUCCCCCUCCCGUCUGCAUCUUAGGUGCGUCAGCCGGAAGCGGUAGAAAGGGGGGGGGGAGCGGAUUUCAGGUAAGAAGCCGUAUGCUCUCCGUCCAGAACGGGCAUCAAAGAUGAAGAGCUUCGAUAACCUUCAGCGAGCAUGGAUGCGCGCAUCUCCGCAUGGCGACCAUUUGGAUGUUUUUCCAACCUUGUUCUUCGUGAUUCGUGUGAAAAGUCAUUCUUUUCGGUGAAGGAGACGUCCCCAAACCACACAAGCGUUUUUCCCCCUUUCACUCUUGCUUUGGUCGACCUUCGCUUCGUGAUCGUUGGGCGUCUUCGCGUACUGGUGCUGCUGUUCCCCUCGGUAGGGUUCAUGCCAGCAUCUCAUUUGUUGCCUACCGCUGUCCUCUUCCCCCCUUCUUUACCCCCCUCUCGGUUCGCUUUCUUGGUGUCCCCCUCGACCGUUUUUGUCACGCUCUACCCAUCUUUCUCCCCGUCAGAUUAUUUUUCUCGCUUUCGACUAUGAAUUGUGCGGCUUGCCCUCACUCCUCUUCGUGUUUUACGACUCUUACUGCGACCUUGGUGUGAAUGCCCCCGCCACGAUCUGGGCCACUCAACAGCACAUGUGUUGAUCUCUCGUUUUUCUCCAUCUCCCCUUCUUGCGUCCCUGUCGCUCCUUCAGCUAGACUCUCUUAUGUUGCCGCUUUCUCUUUUUUUUUCGGUAGACAUGCGCAAUGGGCGGCCACCGCGGCGACUAGCGAUCUCCCGUUCACGGCCACUAUCACUGCUUCUGUAUGUGCAGUGUAGCGCAUGUGCACUUUUUUGGCGACGUGCUCAGCCCCCUCUUUUUUUUUUGUGCCUUUGUGUUUCCAUUUCUGUUAUCUUUGUCUACCCCAUCCCUGCGCUCUCCUCCGUUCUCUUCGUCUCCAACCUCCAUGCUUAUGCCGCACGAUAGUGCCAGCACCUUCUUCUUUUUCUUCUCUUUCUUCGCCGCGUCUUUCACGCUUAUGUAUUUUUGAAGGGAUUGCCAGUUUCUCAGGGCAGCGGCACACACCUCAGUGCGUGGUAGCACACAGCCCCGAGCCGCAGGCUUUCUGGGAAGGAUGCCAUGCAGACCCCCUCCUCCCUCGAUCCCCCUGCCAAAUGCCGGGCCACUUGUGGUGGUGACAGGGUCACGCACCCUACGCCGUGGGGAGCUGGGAGCGAUGCAUCGCUGCUCAUGUCGUCGGUGAGGCUCUGGACGGUGUUGUGUGGGAGCGACAUGCGACAGUGAGCACGCUUGUGCCAUCCAUAUGAUAGGCAAAGUGUCAGCGUGGCUCGAACGUGCAUCCUACCCGGCCCUCGCACUGCCCACCGUCGUGGUUAGCCUGAGCCGCCCCACAGGGGAUGCAGCAGGGGUGGCGACCCUCGCGAUGGGAGGGCGUCUCUGCGGUGGGUGGGUCGAGUGUGAGGCAGGGGCCCUGCUGCGAGAUGGCUGAGUCGGUGCACUGCUGUAACGUGUGUGCCGUGACGGGGGGAGGGGGGGGGCUUCGCACCGCGCGGAUAGGCCUGUGACGGACCGGGAACUGGUGGUAGAGCGGCGUUUGAGCUCAUGGCUUGCCGUGGAGGGGGCACGCUGAGCAAAGAAAUUCGUCUAUGCGACGCAUUGGUGAAACGGGUCUUUUAUCUAGUGGUGCUGCUGUUUCUUUUUCCUCAUUUUUUGCGUGUUCGGACUCUCUUGGGUGCUGUCUGGAGGAUCUACGAGACUUGUUGACGUCUUUUGUUCUCCAGGUCUACUUCAAAUGGUGUUGCAGUCGUUGGGUCGACCUCUUCCGAGUGUGACGUUUUUUCUUUUGCUAGUCAGGGUGGUGGUGGUCGCGGGGCGAGCGAGAACCUUUUUUUUACUAGCGUGAAUCUGUAUGUGUGUGUUAGUGUGCGACUCCGCCGCUCACUCUCCUGUUUUUUUUUUUCGUCGUCGUUGUCCGUCUUCUACGCCGCAUCUGGGAAGACUUUUGCGUUUUCCUUUUUCUGUUUUUUUUUUUUUCAUUUCUCGUGGUGUGCGUUGAAUGUGCUGGUGUGCUGCGUCCUGCCGACCGUCUAUGAGCGCCGUGCGCUUUCGCAUUGGACGCGAGACGCAAGGCGAAAAGGGAUCCAGAAGUACAUAUAUCUCUCUCUAUAUAUAGAUAUAUAUGCAUAAGAAACGCCACAGAUCAUGGAGAGAAUGGGUGGCCUUACAAAAAAAGAACAAAAAGAAGUGGCGAAGGUGAUAAGGAAGGAGCUUUAAGAGGACACCUUGCGUUGUUGUAUAAGUGGAGUGCGUGCUGAUGUCUGUUUUUCUCUCUCCCCCACUUCUCUCUCCUGAGCCGCUGGAGCUGUGCGCACGGUGUGAAAUCUACUGAGUUCCAUGUCCUGUUCGUCUCUUUUUUUUUUCUUGAUCGUUUUUGCUUCGGAUUUUUUUUCGUGCGUGUUAAUGUGGCUCCUUGUUUUUUGUGUGUGAGAUUUUUUUGUAUGUGUGUCUGUUACAAAGAAGGCUACUAAAACAAACCUCACCUAUACCACCCCAACACGCUCAAAAACAACAGCAACAACGACAACGAAAAAAAAGGCGCCGGCCAUCUGGGCUGCAGUCGGUGAGACGCCUUGACUUGAAGCUCAGUGCUUGUGACCCGCCGUGCCUGAAAUGCAAGUGACUCGCUCUCUGAUGAAGAUAGAGACAGAUAGAGAAGCCGUGCGCUUCUGGUCGCAGCACAAGCAAUGAUGAGGCACCGACUCGUAUCGCAGAUCCGCGAAAGUCAGACAAGUGUUGCACACUGCAGUGGUUUUCCAUCCUGAUGCGGUCACGGCCGUUGUCAAUCAUGGCUGCAGUGGCCAGACAAGGAUCUCACCAUCACUCCCCUAUCCUCCAUUUCAG